Molecule: ribosomal RNA, 408 nt
Filed under: uncultured bacterium
Lineage: Bacteria
Description: partial 16S ribosomal RNA
Rfam family: Bacterial small subunit ribosomal RNA
Source: RNAcentral
GACGAACGCUGGCGGCGUGCUUAACACAUGCAAGUCGAACGGAGUGGCGAACGGGUGAGUAACACGUGGGUGAUCUGCCUUGCACUCCGGGAUAAGCUCGGGAAACUGGGUCUAAUACCGGAUAGUGCAAGAUGAGCUCGCGGCCUAUUAGCUUGUUGGUGGGGUAAUGGCCUACCAAGGCGUCGACAGGUAGCCGGCCUGAGAGGGUGUACGGCCACAGUGGGGCAGAGAUACCGCCCAAACUCCUACGGGAGGCAGCAGUGGGGAAUUUUGCGCAAUGGGCGGAAGCAUGAUGGAGCGACGACGCGUGGGGGAUGAAGGCCUUCGAGUUGUAACCACCUUUCGACAGGGACGCGGUACCUGUAUAAGGAGCACCGGCUAACUACGUGCCAGCAGCCGCGGUAAUAC